Molecule: ribosomal RNA, 291 nt
Filed under: uncultured Diversisporaceae
Lineage: Eukaryota; Fungi; Glomeromycota; Glomeromycetes; Diversisporales
Description: partial 18S ribosomal RNA
Rfam family: Eukaryotic small subunit ribosomal RNA
Source: RNAcentral
GGGAGGUAGUGACAAUAAAUAACAAUACGGGGCUCAUUUGAGUCUCGUAAUUGGAAUGAGUACAAUUUAAAUACCUUAACGAGGAACAAUUGGAGGGCAAGUCUGGUGCCAGCAGCCGCGGUAAUUCCAGCUCCAAUAGCGUAUAUUAAAGUUGUUGCAGUUAAAAAGCUCGUAGUUGAACUUCGAGAUUCGUCCAUUGGUCAGGCUUAACUGUCUGUACUGAUGUUUCGGAUUUCUACCUUCUGAAGAACCUUCAUGCUAUUAAUUUGGUGUGUUGGGGAAUCAGGACUA